This 968-nucleotide ribosomal RNA is filed under the name uncultured Actinomycetes bacterium. Its description in RNAcentral is "bacterial SSU rRNA". It matches the Rfam family "Bacterial small subunit ribosomal RNA", at positions 508 to 1482 of the family's 1533-position model. The record is from RNAcentral. Lineage: Bacteria; Bacillati; Actinomycetota; Actinomycetes.
CCAGCAGCCGCGGUAAUACGUAGGGGGCAAGCGUUAUCCGGAUUUACUGGGUGUAAGGGAGCGUAGACGGCACGGCAAGCCAGAUGUGAAAGUCCAGGCUCAACCUUGGAACGCCACUUGAUACUGCUGUGACUAGAGUCCGGUAGAGGAGUGUGGAAUUCCUGGUGUAGCGGUGAAAUGCGCAGAUAUCAGGAGGAACACCGACGGCGAAGGCAGCACUCUGGGCCGGUACUGACGCUGAGGAGCAAAAGCAUGGGGAGCGAACAGGAUUAGAUACCCUGGUAGUCCAUGCCGUAAACGUUGGGCACUAGGUGUGGGGCCUUAUCAACCGGGGUUCCGUGCCGUAGCUAACGCAUUAAGUGCCUCGGCAUGGAGAGUACGGACAUUAGGCUAAAACUCAAAUGGAAUUGACGGGGGCCCGCACAGCAGCGGAGCAUGUAGCUUAAUUCGAGGCAACGCGAGACCUUACUGGGUUUGACAUGUAGGAAACGCAUACAGAUAUGGUGUCCUUCGGGGCCUCACAGUGGGUGCAUGGCUGUCGUCAGCUCUUGUCGGGAGAGUGUGGGUUAGUCCCGCAACGAGCGCAACCCUUGUCUUAGUUGCCAGCACAUUAUGGUGGGAACUCUAAGGAGACUGCCGGUGACAAACCGGAGGAAGGUGGGGAUGACGUCAAGUCAUCAUGGCCCUUAUGGCCUGGGCUACACACGUGCUACAAUGGUGAAUACAAAGGGUUGCCAACCCGCGAGGGGUAGCUAAUCUCAAAAAAUUCAUCUCAGUCCGGAUUGGAGUCUGCAACUCGACUCCAUGAAGUCGGAAUCGCUAGUAAUCGUGAAUCAGCAAUGUCGCGGUGAAUACGUUCCCGGGCCUUGUACACACCGCCCGUCACACCAUGGGAGUUGGCUGCACCAGAAGUAGUUAGUCUAACCUUCGGGAGGACGAUUACCACGGUGUGGUUAAUGACAGGGGUG